UGCCCUGUGACAUUGUUUAACGGCCGCGGUAUUAUGACCGUGCGAAGGUAGCGUAAUCACUUGUCUUUUAAUUGAAGACCUGUAUGAAAGGCAUCACGAGAGUUUACCUGUCUCUAUUUUCUAAUCAAUGAAAUUGAUUUCCCCGUGCAGAAGCGGGAAUAUAACCAUAAGACGAGAAGACCCUAUGGAGCUUUAAACACUUAAGUUACUAUCUUACUCAUUAAUUAAUCUAAAGACUUAACCACUCUGAUAGCUAACCUAACUUAAUGUUUUCGGUUGGGGCGACCAAGGAGCAAAAGAAAACCUCCUUAUCGAUUGAGUAUUUUUACUUUAAAACCAGAACGACAGUUCUGAUUAAUAGAAUAUCUAACGAAUAAUGACCCAGGGCUAUACCCUGAUCAAUGAACCAAGUUACCCUAGGGAUAACAGCGCAAUCCUUUCUAAGAGUCCAUAUCGCCGAAAGGGUUUACGACCUCGAUGUUGGAUCAGGACAUCCUAAU
This 500-nucleotide ribosomal RNA is filed under the name Dipturus sp. A KKB-2014. Its description in RNAcentral is "partial 16S ribosomal RNA". It matches the Rfam family "Bacterial large subunit ribosomal RNA", at positions 1860 to 2551 of the family's 2925-position model. The record is from RNAcentral. Lineage: Eukaryota; Metazoa; Chordata; Chondrichthyes; Rajiformes; Rajidae.